AGCGUACACGGUGGAUGCCCUGGCAGUCAGAGGCGAUGAAGGACGUGCUAAUCUGCGAAAAGCGUCGGUAAGGUGAUAUGAACCGUUAUAGCCGGCGAUGUCCGAAUGGGGAAACCCAGUGUGAUUCGUCACACUAUCGUUAACUGAAUACAUAGGUUAACGAGGCGAACCGGGGGAACUGAAACAUCUAAGUACCCCGAGGAAAAGAAAUCAACCGAGAUUCCCCCAGUAGCGGCGAGCGAACGGGGAGCAGCCCAGAGUCUGAAUCAGCUUGUGUGUUAGUGGAACGGUCUGGAAAGUCCGACGGUACAGGGUGAUAGUCCCGUACACCAAAAUGCACAGGUUGUGAACUCGAAGAGUAGGGCGGGACACGUGGUAUCCUGUCUGAAUAUGGGGGGACCAUCCUCCAAGGCUAAAUACUCCUGACUGACCGAUAGUGAACCAGUACCGUGAGGGAAAGGCGAAAAGAACCCCGGCGAGGGGAGUGAAAAAGAACCUGAAACCGUGUACGUACAAGCAGUGGGAGCACCUUUAUGGUGUGACUGCGUACCUUUUGUAUAAUGGGUCAGCGACUUAUAUUCUGUAGCAAGGUUAACCGUAUAGGGGAGCCGCAGGGAAACCGAGUCUUAACUGGGCGUUAAGUUGCAGGGUAUAGACCCGAAACCCGGUGAUCUAGCCAUGGGCAGGUUGAAGGUUGGGUAACACUAACUGGAGGACCGAACCGACUAAUGUUGAAAAAUUAGCGGAUGACUUGUGGCUGGGGGUGAAAGGCCAAUCAAACCGGGAGAUAGCUGGUUCUCCCCGAAAGCUAUUUAGGUAGCGCCUCGUGAAUUCAUCUUCGGGGGUAGAGCACUGUUUCGGCUAGGGGGUCAUCCCGACUUACCAACCCGAUGCAAACUACGAAUACCGAAGAAUGUUAUCACGGGAGACACACGGCGGGUGCUAACGUCCGUCGUGAAGAGGGAAACAACCCAGACCGCCAGCUAAGGUCCCAAAGUCACAGUUAAGUGGGAAACGAUGUGGGAAGGCACAGACAGCCAGGAUGUUGGCUUAGAAGCAGCCAUCAUUUAAAGAAAGCGUAAUAGCUCACUGGUCGAGUCGGCCUGCGCGGAAGAUGUAACGGGGCUAAACUGUGCACCGAAGCUGCGGCAGCGACACUAUGUGUUGUUGGGUAGGGGAGCGUUCUGUAAGCCUGCGAAGGUGGCCUGUGAGGGUUGCUGGAGGUAUCAGAAGUGCGAAUGCUGACAUAAGUAACGAUAAUGCGGGUGAAAAGCCCGCACGCCGGAAGACCAAGGGUUCCUGUCCAACGUUAAUCGGGGCAGGGUGAGUCGACCCCUAAGGCGAGGCCGAAAGGCGUAGUCGAUGGGAAACAGGUUAAUAUUCCUGUACUUGGUGUUACUGCGAAGGGGGGACGGAGAAGGCUAUGUUAGCCGGGCGACGGUUGUCCCGGUUUAAGCAUGUAGGCGGAGGUUCCAGGUAAAUCCGGUACCUUUUUAACGCUGAGGUGUGAUGACGAGGCACUACGGUGCUGAAGUAACAAAUGCCCUGCUUCCAGGAAAAGCCUCUAAGCAUCAGGUAACAUCAAAUCGUACCCCAAACCGACACAGGUGGUCAGGUAGAGAAUACCAAGGCGCUUGAGAGAACUCGGGUGAAGGAACUAGGCAAAAUGGUGCCGUAACUUCGGGAGAAGGCACGCUGAUAUGUAGGUGAAGCCCCUGCGGGUGGAGCUGAAAUCAGUCGAAGAUACCAGCUGGCUGCAACUGUUUAUUAAAAACACAGCACUGUGCAAACACGAAAGUGGACGUAUACGGUGUGACGCCUGCCCGGUGCCGGAAGGUUAAUUGAUGGGGUUAUCCGUAAGGAGAAGCUCUUGAUCGAAGCCCCGGUAAACGGCGGCCGUAACUAUAACGGUCCUAAGGUAGCGAAAUUCCUUGUCGGGUAAGUUCCGACCUGCACGAAUGGCGUAAUGAUGGCCAGGCUGUCUCCACCCGAGACUCAGUGAAAUUGAACUCGCUGUGAAGAUGCAGUGUACCCGCGGCAAGACGGAAAGACCCCGUGAACCUUUACUAUAGCUUGACACUGAACAUUGAGCCUUGAUGUGUAGGAUAGGUGGGAGGCUUUGAAGCGUGGACGCCAGUCUGCGUGGAGCCAACCUUGAAAUACCACCCUUUAAUGUUUGAUGUUCUAACGUUGGCCCCUUAUCGGGGUUGCGGACAGUGUCUGGUGGGUAGUUUGACUGGGGCGGUCUCCUCCCAAAGAGUAACGGAGGAGCACGAAGGUUAGCUAAUCCUGGUCGGACAUCAGGAGGUUAGUGCAAUGGCAUAAGCUAGCUUGACUGCGAGCGUGACGGCGCGAGCAGGUGCGAAAGCAGGUCAUAGUGAUCCGGUGGUUCUGAAUGGAAGGGCCAUCGCUCAACGGAUAAAAGGUACUCCGGGGAUAACAGGCUGAUACCGCCCAAGAGUUCAUAUCGACGGCGGUGUUUGGCACCUCGAUGUCGGCUCAUCACAUCCUGGGGCUGAAGUAGGUCCCAAGGGUAUGGCUGUUCGCCAUUUAAAGUGGUACGCGAGCUGGGUUUAGAACGUCGUGAGACAGUUCGGUCCCUAUCUGCCGUGGGCGCUGGAGAAUUGAGGGGGGCUGCUCCUAGUACGAGAGGACCGGAGUGGACGCAUCACUGGUGUUCGGGUUGUCAUGCCAAUGGCAUUGCCCGGUAGCUAAAUGCGGAAGAGAUAAGUGCUGAAAGCAUCUAAGCACGAAACUUGCCCCGAGAUGAGUUCU
RNAcentral lists this ribosomal RNA (2775 nucleotides) under Klebsiella aerogenes. RNAcentral's name for it is "bacterial LSU rRNA". It matches the Rfam family "Bacterial large subunit ribosomal RNA". The record is from RNAcentral. Lineage: Bacteria; Pseudomonadati; Pseudomonadota; Gammaproteobacteria; Enterobacterales; Enterobacteriaceae.